UGUAGGGAUAUAUGGGGCUCUAUGGGGUUUUAUGGCGUCUCUAUGGAGUCUUAUGGGGUCCAUAAGGGAUCUUAUGGGGUCUCUAUGGGGUCGCUAUGGGGUCCCUAUGGGUCUCUAUGGGGUUUCUAUGGGUCUCUAUAGGGUUUUAUGGUGUCUCUAUGAGUCUCUAUGGGGUCUUAUGGGGUCUCUAUGGGUCCCUAUGGGGUCUUAUGUGGUCCCUAUGGGUCUCUAUGGGGUCUUACGGGGUCCCUAUGGGGUCUUAUGGGGUUUUAUGGGGUCUCUAUGGGUCCCUAUGGGGUCUUAUGGGGUCUCUAUGGGGUUUUAUGGAGUCCAUAUGGGAACUUAUAGGGUCUCUAAGGGUCCCUAUGGGGUCUUAUGGGAUCCCUAUGGGGUCUUAUGGGGUCUCUAUGGGGUCUCUAUGGGUCCCUAUGGGUCUCUAUGAGGUCCCUAUGGGGUCUUAUGGGGUCUCUAUGGGGUUUUAUGGUGUCUCUAUGGGUCUCUAUGGGGUCUUAUGGGGUCCCUAUGGGGUCUUAUGGGGUCUCUAUGGGGUCUCUAUGGGUCCCUAUGGGUCUCUAUGGGGUCUCUAUGGGGUCUUAUGGGGUUCCUAUGGGGUUUUAUGGGGUCCAUAUGGGGUCUUAUGGGGUCCCUAUGGGUCUCUAUGGGGUCUUAUGGGUCUCUAUGGGUUCUUAGGGGGUCCCUAUGGGGUUUUUAUGGGGUCCCUAUGGGGUUUUUAUGGGGUCCCUCUGUGUCCCCACGCGUGGCGCGCUGUUCGCAGGUCUCGCAGCAGGGGGCGCUGU
RNAcentral lists this long non-coding RNA (797 nucleotides) under Phasianus colchicus (ring-necked pheasant). Its description in RNAcentral is "lncRNA (ENSPCLG00000017374.1)". Lineage: Eukaryota; Metazoa; Chordata; Aves; Galliformes; Phasianidae. The record is from RNAcentral.